Laetiporus sulphureus 93-53 is the source of this 102-nucleotide transfer RNA. It matches the Rfam family "tRNA". From Rfam's summary of the family: Transfer RNA (tRNA) molecules are approximately 80 nucleotides in length. Their secondary structure includes four short double-helical elements and three loops (D, anti-codon, and T loops). Further hydrogen bonds mediate the characteristic L-shaped molecular structure. tRNAs have two regions of fundamental functional importance: the anti-codon, which is responsible for specific mRNA codon recognition, and the 3' end, to which the tRNAs corresponding amino acid is attached (by aminoacyl-tRNA synthetases). tRNAs cope with the degeneracy of the genetic code in two manners: having more than one tRNA (with a specific anti-codon) for a particular amino acid; and 'wobble' base-pairing, i.e. permitting non-standard base-pairing at the 3rd anti-codon position. NCBI's taxonomy places the organism in Eukaryota, Fungi, Basidiomycota, Agaricomycetes, Polyporales, Laetiporaceae. The record is from Rfam.
GCCCGCCUAGCUCAAUCGGAUAGAGCGUCAGACUUUUACGGUCGGGUCGGUUUAACCGAUUGUGUUAUCUGAAGGCUGCGGGUUCGACCCCCGCGGUGGGCU